GCGAAGAUGGGUAAUGCUUCUAGUAACAAAACAUAUGGCCAUCUUUCAAGGACUGAAAUGAGGCUUGUUAUUUUGUCUCACAGCUGGCUGAGGAAUUGAAGUCAAGGAGAGAUUGGUGCCGUCCAUCGCAGGCCUAAAUCUUAAGCAGUCCUUUCCCUGAUGACCAAGUCAAAAUGUCUGCUGGGACUUAAUGUACAGACCUCCAGACAUGAUGGGCAACGACUUGAGAGGAGAAGCGAGCGAUGUGAAAGAAGAGUCAAAUGAGGGAUCUACAGUAAGCAUUGGCCCAGUAUACAGUAGCAAUGCUGUGAAAAAUAAAAAUACGUGUAGUUCAAUAUAUACUUUACAUUUUUGUUGUAUCCUUCAGGCUGAACUCCUUAAUUAAUUACAUAUUUGACCAUUGGUACACAACAGAAAGAGGUGAUUCUUACCAUCAAGGUAUUGCUCUGUUUGAUCCUUUACUUUCACAUCCAGUUAGAAAUACUAAGCAGUUCCCUUAACCGUCCAUUGAUGUCUUUUUGUCUUUCUUUCCGUCCACAGGUGAGAUUUCCCUGUAGCAUUACAAAAAAAAAUUCCAAAUAUUACAUAUGUAAGUUGUAAAGCUUGCAACCCAGAUACAAGCUCUCCGGUGUGAGGAUGUUGAACAGAUUUAAAGUCAUGACCUGCAGGCUUACACUCCUAUUACCGACCUUUAAAACCAGGACCCACUUUUAUGCUCCAAGUCAGACGGAAGACAAUAAACCGUGUGAGUAUCUUCACGCCAACGCUUUGUCUUGUCUGUGCUGGGAUCGUGAAAACUGGCUCAACAGGCCAAGGGAGUUUUCCAAUUGUGUUAGGAUGUAUUCAGUUCUUUCAGUUACUGUGCUUUUCACAGUCACACAUUUGCAUACUGAGUGACGCUGGCUGAAGAAAUGUUUGACUUAAAAAAACCAAUUUGCUUGUUGAGCGUCUUGCAGAGAUUUAGAUCACAAAGAGAUGGAUGACACUGUUGUGGCUGUGUUGUGAAUGUGCAGCUGGAGUCACCAAAUCAACAGGAUCAUUGCGCACACUAAGCAUUGUCCACGACUCCAUCUCUGCAAGCUACCUAAUCCUUUGUUGUGCUUUCCACUUCAUGUGCGAGGUGCACAUUAACAUGUUUGACAUUUGACCUGUCUCGGGAUGGAGAGUUGAAAAACAUACUUUAAGCAUACUGGUUUAGCCUUGUGUAGUUGAUUGAUUCUGGGUGGCUCUUUGAUGCAGCUUCUCCACCGAAAAGAACUUGGGACUUAAAAUUGGUCAUCCAAAAUGCUCAAGCCUAC
This is a long non-coding RNA of Gasterosteus aculeatus aculeatus (three-spined stickleback), 1298 nucleotides long. NCBI's taxonomy places the organism in Eukaryota, Metazoa, Chordata, Actinopteri, Perciformes, Gasterosteidae. The record is from Ensembl.